This 431-nucleotide ribosomal RNA is filed under the name uncultured bacterium. Its description in RNAcentral is "partial 16S ribosomal RNA". It matches the Rfam family "Bacterial small subunit ribosomal RNA", at positions 29 to 507 of the family's 1533-position model. The record is from RNAcentral.
AACGAACGCUGGCGGCAGGCUUAACACAUGCAAGUCGAGCGCCCCGCAAGGGGAGCGGCAGACGGGUGAGUAACGCGUGGGAACGUACCUUUUGGUUCGGAACAACUCCGGGAAACUGAAGCUAAUACCGGAUAAGCCCUAACGGGGAAAGAUUUAUCGCCGAAAGAUCGGCCCGCGUCUGAUUAGCUAGUUGGUGAGGUAACGGCUCACCAAGGCGACGAUCAGUAGCUGGUCUGAGAGGAUGAUCAGCCACACUGGGACUGAGACACGGCCCAGACUCCUACGGGAGGCAGCAGUGGGGAAUAUUGGACAAUGGGCGCAAGCCUGAUCCAGCCAUGCCGCGUGAGUGAUGAAGGCCUUAGGGUUGUAAAGCUCUUUUGUCCGGGAAGAUAAUGACUGUACCGGAAGAAUAAGCCCCGGCUAACUUCGUG